AGGUACUUGGUCUUCUGGACGUCGAAGAAGGUGAAAGGUCCAAGGAAGAGUGUGAAGACAGCCUGGGGGGGAAAGCAGCAGUGAGGAAGGAUGGAGAAGGAGAUGUCAGGUGGAAGAAUAAAUACAAAGCCACUUGCCACACAUUUCCAAGUAACUGAAGCCUGCAGUUAUAUGUUAGUGCUUCUCCCUGCCCUGCCCUGCCCCGCCCCACCUUGCUGGUGGACGAUUCACCUCUGACCUAGGAACGGAAACACAGAUCACACUCAGUCACCUUAACAGGCCAGAGUUCCAAAUAUGGCAGGGCACGGCUCCCCACGGCACAGAGCAGCACAGCGCCCCCCACAGGACGAAGCCACAUGCAGCACAUAUAGGGUUGGGGCUGGAGUCACGUUUCCCUAGCUUCUGCCAGAGCUGUCCCAAAGGAGAAUGCGUGAGUAAACGUCAACAUCACAGCCCAGAAGAAAGAAAGGCAGCUUGGAACCUGUCACCAGCUCUCUCUGUACAUUUAAACCAGAAGAGUAAAAUGGAAAGCUUUAAGUUUGGUCCAAAGGCAGCCCCCUGAAAAGGCUGCCACCUGCCUGUCAGUCACUGCCACUGUCAGCGCCACUGUCCUAGCCGUCUGUCCUUCCUCCCAGCCUCGUCCUACGAAAGUCAUCGAGUGGUGACACCAAUGUGGCAGGCCUUUCUGCCUCCGUAAAGGGCUCACAUAUGGUUCCAUUUCUCUCUCACACCGGCCUGGGAAGCCACCUGAGCAGGUGGCAAUGUCCUCGUUGUAUUGAUGAGGAGAUAGAGGGACCGCAGAGGUCAGUGACAGAAUGAGAAAGCAGAGCAACACGGGUGCCUGCAGUUCCUUCUCAGCCCUGCCUCCCAGGGGAGGAGCCCCCAAUUCUGCCUCCCAAAGGCAGCACCCUUGGGUGUACAUACGAGAUGGCGGGGGAAGUGUCAAGGCAACGCUCAAGUGUUGUCCUUCCUACUCAGGGCUGGGAGGUGCAAGACUGAAGGAAGGUUAUCUUAUUAUUAUUAUUGUCAGCUGUGGGGCUUGAACUCAGGGCCUGGGCGCUGUC
Molecule: long non-coding RNA, 1064 nt
Organism: Dipodomys ordii (Ord's kangaroo rat)
Lineage: Eukaryota; Metazoa; Chordata; Mammalia; Rodentia; Heteromyidae
Exons: 4
Source: RefSeq, a predicted model, not a curated record